AACGAACGCUGGCGGCGCGCCUAAUACAUGCAAGUCGAGCGAGAAGACGUAGCAAUACGUUUGUAAAGCGGCGAACGGGUGAGGAAUACAUGGGUAACCUACCCUCGAGUGGGGAAUAACUAGCCGAAAGGUUAGCUAAUACCGCGUACGCUCCUUGGACUUCGGUUCAGGGAGGAAAGCGAUACCGUGGGUAUCGCGCUCUUGGAUGGGCUCAUGUCCUAUCAGCUUGUUGGUGAGGUAACGGCUCACCGAGGCUUCGACGGGUAGCUGGUCUGAGAGGACAAUCAGCCACACUGGCACUGCGACACGGGCCAGACUCCUAC
Molecule: ribosomal RNA, 323 nt
Filed under: uncultured bacterium
Lineage: Bacteria
Description: bacterial SSU rRNA
Rfam family: Bacterial small subunit ribosomal RNA
Source: RNAcentral